GAACGAACGCUGGCGGCGUGGAUAAGACAUGCAAGUCGAACGGGAACUUCAGCUGUAGCAAUACAGUUGUAAGUUUUAGUGGCGAACGGGUGCGUAACACGUGGGCAAUCUGCCGAGAAGGUGGGGGAUAGCUCGCCGAAAGGCGAAUUAAUACCGCAUAUGAUCAGCUAAGACAUCUUAGCGACAUCAAAGCCGGGGCAACCUGGCGUCUUUUUGAGGAGCCCGCGGCCUAUCAGCUAGUUGGUGAGGUAACGGCUCACCAAGGCUAUGACGGGUAGCUGGUCUGAGAGGACGACCAGUCACA
This 304-nucleotide ribosomal RNA is filed under the name uncultured bacterium. RNAcentral describes it as "bacterial SSU rRNA". It matches the Rfam family "Bacterial small subunit ribosomal RNA", at positions 27 to 312 of the family's 1533-position model. The record is from RNAcentral.